Molecule: ribosomal RNA, 278 nt
Filed under: uncultured Eubacteriales bacterium
Lineage: Bacteria; Bacillati; Bacillota; Clostridia; Eubacteriales
Description: uncultured Clostridiales bacterium partial 16S ribosomal RNA
Rfam family: Bacterial small subunit ribosomal RNA
Source: RNAcentral
UUGAUUUCUUCGGAAUGAAGUUUUUGUGACUGAGUGGCGGACGGGUGAGUAACGCGUGGGUAACCUGCCUCAUACAGGGGGAUAACAGUUGGAAACGACUGCUAAUACCGCAUAAGCGCACGGUUCCGCAUGGAACAGUGUGAAAAAACUCCGGUGGUGUGAGAUGGACCCGCGUCUGAUUAGCCAGUUGGCGGGGUAACGGCCCACCAAAGCGACGAUCAGUAGCCGGCCUGAGAGGAUGAACGGCCACACUGGAACUGAGACACGGUCCAGACUCC